Molecule: ribosomal RNA, 497 nt
Filed under: uncultured bacterium
Lineage: Bacteria
Description: partial 16S ribosomal RNA
Rfam family: Bacterial small subunit ribosomal RNA
Source: RNAcentral
GAUGAACGCUGGCGGCGUGCCUAAUACAUGCAAGUCGAGCGAACAGAUGAUGAUCUUGCUCCUCUUACGUUAGCGGCGGACGGGUGAGUAACACGUGGAUAACCUACCUAUAAGACUGGGAUAACUUCGGGAAACCGUAGCUAAUACCGGAUAAUAUAUUGAACCGCAUUGUUCAAUAGUUUAUUACGUUUUUGCUUUCACUUAUCGAUGGAUCCGCGCCGCAUUAUCUAUUUGGUAAGGGAACGGCUUACCAAGGAAACGAUGCGUAGCCGAACUGAGAGGGAGAUAGGCGAAACGGGAACAGAGACACGGUCGAGACACCUACGGGAGGAAGCAGAAGGGAAUAAUGCGCAAUGGGAGAAAGCCUGAAGGAGCAAGGACGAGUGAGUGAAGAAGGAGAACGGAUCGUAAAACUAUGUAAUAAGGGAAGAACAAAUGUGGAAGUAACUAAGGAAGGAUUGACGGUACCUAAGAAGAAAGGCACGGCUAACUACGUG